UGGGGAAUAUUGGACAAUGGGGGCAACCCUGAUCCAGCAAUACCGCGUGUGUGAAGAAGGCCUGAGGGUUGUAAAGCACUUUCAGUGGGGAGGAGGAUUGCUCGGUUAAGAGCUAGGUAAUUGGACGUUACCCACAGAAGAAGCACCGGCUAACUCCGUGCCAGCAGCCGCGGUAAUACGGAGGGUGCGAGCGUUAAUCGGAAUUACUGGGCGUAAAGGGUGCGUAGGUGGUUGGAUAAGUUAGCUGUGAAAUUCCUGGGCUCAACCGGGGACGGGCAGCUAAGACUGUUUGACUCGAGUAUGGGUGAGGGUAGUGGAAUUUCCGGUGUAGCGGGGAAAUGCGUAGAGAUCGGAAGGAACACCAGUGGCGAAGGCGGCUACCUGGCCUAAUACUGACACUGAAGCACGAAAGCGUGGGGAGCAAACA
This 427-nucleotide ribosomal RNA is filed under the name uncultured prokaryote. RNAcentral's name for it is "bacterial SSU rRNA". It matches the Rfam family "Bacterial small subunit ribosomal RNA", at positions 355 to 774 of the family's 1533-position model. The record is from RNAcentral.